CUAUCAUAGCUGAAUCUUCUUCUAUAUCAAUUAAGGGGAGAAGAGGUAAUCUGCUAGUAGCCUGUUUAUUCAUUUGCUUCUUUUGCAUGUUUGUGUUACCUGCCUCUUUUGGUUUUGUGCACCAUUCCUAUUUCUAAGAUGUCCAUGUUGGGUAAAAAGGGGAGGGAAAAUGACAUGUCUAAAGCGCUAUGUUAUUCUUCCAGAUUUGACAAAGUCACAAGUCUUUGAUGUCAUGAUUUACUAUAUUGGUUUUGUUGUAAUGAUUAAUUGGUUGUCAUCAAGUUUUAUGAUAGCACAUACAAUGAUUCUUACAUUCGAGUUUCUUUUGUAUGGUAAUUUUCCUGAGGUAGUGUUGAUAACAAUGACUUCAUAGUUUUAAUCUUUAAAUAACAAGCAGAUAUUCUGAAGCACCUUAGAAAUGUUGUGCAGUCUGCAUUCAUAUGGUACAUCAUGAUAUUAAAAUGUCUCCAUAACCUUUAAAGUCUUUGACAUGAUAUAUAAUGUUCUAUAAUUCAUUUCUGGUAAUAUAUGUUACAUGAGACUAAAUGUAUUUUCUUUGAAGUAGUUGUAAAUGUUAAUGACUUGCAUUUGGAAUUCCUGUCAGUCUCUGAGUUCCUAGUAGAAAUAUCAGAUGAUCUGUUAGUGUUUUUCCUUUCGGUUUUCUGAUUUUACCUAUAAUUUAAGUGGUUUCAACGGUAUAGAAGAUUUCCAUUUUGGAUCAUGAAAUUUUUAUUCAAAGAAACGGGUAUAAAACCCUAUAGGAAUGUACAUUAGCAGUAGCAUACUUUAGGCCAUUCAAGAGGCAUCUGCAUGAGUGCUGGCAAAAGCGUACAAGUCCAAUUCUGUGCGUGUUUACUCCAAAUGGAGCCUGGACAAGUGCUCUAAUAUAAUCAAUGCUCAACUGCUUUUGUUCUCUUUUUCUUUUUUCCUUCUCUUUUAUGUUGUUCGGGUAACUGAUGUUGUCAUUCAUUUUCAUAAUAAUAUGCUGCAAGCAUCGUCUCAAUUUUACUCAACUCCAAGUCCCAGAUGAUAUAAUGAUGCUCCAGGUUUUACUAUGAGGAUGACAUACUAAUAAUUUCAAUAUCUUGAGCAUGCUUGUCAAAAUAUAAAGACCUUCAACAGCCCCAACUAUGCUGGUUAGCAUGUAUGACAUCACUCUUGGAAGGAAAUUCAAUCGGCUUUAAUGUUUGAAUUUGAGUGCUGAAAUUAUUCCUUCAGGCAAAAUACAAAACAGAUGCUGAAGGUAUGACAAUUUAUUUAAAACUUUGGAUCCUCAGCUGAGAAGAUGUGAAGAAGCCAAUAAAUAAAGUACCCACUUGGAACAUGGAGUAUUCCACCUGUGAUUGUAUAUUGAUCCAACCCUCUAAAUACGAAAUCAACUUAGAAUUUAAUAACGUACUUGAUCUUUUUUUUUUUUUUUGAUUGAUCUAAAUCAAUUGUACCAGUGUUCAAAGUUUUUUUUUUAAGCAUUCUUCUGGAUUAUGGAGUAUACCACCUUGAGUGGUGACAAGA
This is a non-coding RNA of Durio zibethinus, 1512 nucleotides long. NCBI's taxonomy places the organism in Eukaryota, Viridiplantae, Streptophyta, Magnoliopsida, Malvales, Malvaceae. The record is from RefSeq and is a predicted model, not a curated record.